UACGUAGGGUGCAAGCGUUAAUCGGAAUUACUGGGCGUAAAGCGUGCGCAGGCGGUUUUGUAAGUUUGUCGUGAAAGCCCCGGGCUCAACCUGGGAAUGGCGAUGAAGACUGCAAGGCUUGAAUCUGGCAGAGGGGGGUAGAAUUCCACGUGUAGCAGUGAAAUGCGUAGAGAUGUGGAGGAACACCGAUGGCGAAGGCAGCCCCCUGGGUCAAGAUUGACGCUCAUGCACGAAAGCGUGGGGAGCAAACCGG
Molecule: ribosomal RNA, 253 nt
Filed under: uncultured bacterium
Lineage: Bacteria
Description: partial 16S ribosomal RNA
Rfam family: Bacterial small subunit ribosomal RNA
Source: RNAcentral